Non-coding RNA from Rattus norvegicus (Norway rat), 17104 nucleotides. Lineage: Eukaryota; Metazoa; Chordata; Mammalia; Rodentia; Muridae. The record is from RefSeq and is a predicted model, not a curated record.
CUUGGCGCAGGCGCCUUCCCCGCCUUCCCGAUCGCACGCAUGCGCUCUGUACCCGCCGCAUGCUUCCUGGUGGCGUGGUGGGUGGCGUGUUCGUCGGUUGCUUCUGUGGUACAGGUUCGCUGCCUCACGUAGCGCACAUCGCCUUGCACAGCGCACAACUGGUUCUACCGGUUUCUGGGACGAAAACUGUCUCAACCCCUUUUCUCUGGGUUGAUGCCAGAACUUUAGGAACAGCCUCAAAGGAUUCCAGUCUUGACCACCCACAAAAGUAGUCUUUUGUAAACACGAGCAUGUGUGGGGAUUUAAAAAAACAAAACAAAACUGGAUCCUGAGAUUCUCCGAUAUUAACUUUGGAGAUGAUAACAUUGUGUGGCAAUGUAAAAAGGUUGGCAGUCCCCUUAGGAUCAUCUCUAACACCUGUAGUAAGCCUUUUAGUUGCAUGUUUGGGAAGUUUGGGUGAUUUUGUACAGACUUGGGCGGUUUGCUCUUAAGUUUUGAAACGGUUUUGAUGAGUUGCGCGUUGUAAGGGUCUAUGAUUUGCUGAAGCAUGAUACCCCGGACUCAAAUAGUAUGUAAGCGCAAAGAGUGUUUUAUAUUGCAUGCUUGGGUCUCCUAUUACCAAGAUAGAGAGACAAUCAAAUAUGCUCGCAGUCCUGAUUUACAGCACGUUAGGGGAAUUCUAGGUUAGAUGGGCUUUGCCUUACUCUAUCGCUAGGCAUUCCAGAACCAUUACCUUGGCGUGUUGGCUGCAAACAAUUGCUGAGGAUUCCGGAGAUAGUUGGCCUUACCUUGCUCUCUUCUGAAACUACUGUGUCAGGGUGUGAGGGCUGAAACUGUUGUUGACCCAUUUUCCUUGCUUCAGGCCAGGUAUCAGGUCAGUUUCUGAUGGCAGGGCACUUUCUGGCUAGCUGCUUGAAGCCUGCAGAUUUUAGGCCUAAUCUGAACUGACAAUUUGAAGCCUGUCAUGGAGUUAACCUCUCUCAUCAAUGUCACAAUUACAAUCGUGAAUUUUCAGAAGGAUCAGAUCGGUUAAAGUGUGAAAUUUACAUAGGUAUUUUGUGGGAGUAUUUUUAAUAAGACUCUCAACUCUGUGUCAAAACAUCCCAUAAUAGAUUAAAAACCCCUUGGAGUCUAUUAACUUAGCCCACUAACUUUUACCAACCAAAUAGCCCAGAUAGUGUCUUGGGCCUGUAGAUAAGCUUCUUUCUCCCUUCCCGAACCUGCCUGUCUAAUGUACCCACCAAUAUAUUUUGGACUUGCCUUGAUUUAUGCUUUUUUUUUGUUCUGUAAAAUGAUUUUUAAAAACUUUAUGAAACUGUUUCCACCUGGGAAUCUGAAUUGAAGGUAACCUAUAUAUCUGUGUUCUGUGGCCAUUCAGGGUGAUUCCAGGAUAAACUGUCUCUUUUUUCCUUUAUGAUGAGAGCUAUAGUUUUUGCAUAGACAACACAAAGGUUGGUUCUGGAUUUAGAAAACUGGGCAAAACUGACAAAUUAAGGUUACUAAAAUAACCAUAAAGUGAACUUCAAAUUCAAUAUCUUAAUACUAUCAGUGUGCCACUAACUGGGCUUCACGUCGCUAGUAGGACAUACAGACAAAGACAGCGUGCAUCUCCAAAGGAAAAUUCUGUAUCCUUUGCCUUGUAGAUUGUGAGAAUGAGAGUCAUUACCUGGGAAUUAGUCACACUGUGUGUUGAGCUUCAGGGAUCUCCACACAAAUAACUCAGACUCCUGUCUCAGUUAAGCAAGAAUAGUUUAUUGAAUGCACACCCCAAGACCGAUUGAUCAGGGUCGAAGCCCAGGCUCUGGAACUAAGACUGGACCUUGAACCUAUAAGGGCCAGCUUAUAAAGGAAAACCACAGUGACCACACACACAGCCUGGCAGGGAGGUUGGCUCUGAGUCAAGCUAGUCUGCCUAGCUAGACAGAGCAGUUCUAACUGACUGACUUACAUUCUGAUUGGUCUUAAGUGGACCUUAUGGUUGUGGGAUUUCUUAAGCUUAACACAUCUAAGAAAAUACAGAAAGUAACAUGGUGUGUGGGCAGCAUGACCCUGCUGUGAGCCAAGAUAUUUUUCUGCCUCACUAACUGGCAGGCGUGGAACAAAAUGUCUACAGCUCUGCUGGGAGAGAAGGCUUCAACAAUGUACCGGAGACAGAUUAUCUCACAUUCAUGGGCUAGAAGUGACCUGCUUUUAAUUAAUAUUUAGUGUUUACAAUCCUUUAAAAAAAUUAAAUGAACUGCUGAUUCUUCCAGAGGUAGAUCAUGCAUCCACCGGCAAGGUAAGACCACUUUCUAAUUAUUGACAUAGGACUGAUAAAACUUGAAUUUAUUAAAAUAGAAGUAGCCUGACAUAAGGUGAAAAAAUUUUGAAGUGUUUCCAAGUACCCCUGGUACUGAACUGAGUUUGAUGCCUGUGUGGGUGUUGGUUUUCUUGAUCUAUCCAGGAAGGAAGGGCUCUCCUGGGCACGAGGUGAGGGACGUCCACGUGCAAGUAUUGUUCCUCUGGGGACAGUAAUUGCUGCAAUUAGACAGGGUCGUUUAUGUCAAAUUCAGUUGAAGGAUCCUUCACCCCUUCAGACUUAGCUGUGUUGGUUCUUGGCUACUCCACAUAAUGGAAGUGAAUGGAGAGCAUGUCGAGGAGGGAAUGCUAUGCCAACUGGUUAAAAGCUCGAUUGAAAAAAAACAAGAAGAGAUUUCUCUGUGUCCAAACUGAAAGAUUUUUUAAUGUUUUGUCUAGCAUAUUGGCUUGAUUUGUGCCACUUUAUUUUUAUUUUUAUUUUUACAAAUUUGCUAUGUUGUUAGGCUGGCCUAGAAUUCCCUGUCCUCUUUAGGUAGUAACAUAGGUUCAGACCCAAAUGACUAUGGGCGUUAACCCUGGGAGAAAGAGCAUCCACUGAGCUUGCCAGAGGGAACAGUCCUUACCCAACACACAGAAAAAUCAGCCACCUACAACAGUCAAAAAAAAAAGAUCCACGUCUUUCUGAGAAAGCUUCCCUUCCCUUUUGAGCUGUGAAACUGGGAAACAGUAGAUGGCUCUUAAAGAUUCGUGGUUCCUUGAGUCUUCUCCAAUCCUCUGGAGUGGGUUAGGAAGAAAAAAACCCCAACUUUCUCACCACUACCACAACUACUACUCUGUCUUUACAAAAGAAUAGUCAUUUGUUUGUUUGUUUAUCUAUUGUAGCCAGGGUACAGGCCAGACCACAUGUAUGGAGGUAAAAGACAACUUUGCGAAGUCGAUUACGCUCUUCCACUUGUAUGAGGAGCCUAGAGAUUGAACUUGGGUUGCUUGCAAGGCAAACACGUUUACUGGCUAAACUGUCUCUCCAGCCCUACUCCACGUCUUGCCCAAUCCCAUAUUCACAAGCCGCAAAACCUGGAUCUCAUGUCGUAGAACAUGCACAAGACUUCUACCAGUAACUUGUCUAACCUUCCUGGCAAAGGGAAUACAUCCUUGCCUGGCUUGUAUCCACUUUGUGUCUUCCCUGCAGAGUGCAGGCUGCCCUUUAGCAGGGAGUUGCCAUUUUACCAUCUUGGCACCAUCUACAGUUCCUCAGACAACACCUUGAAAAUAGAAGGCAUUCAAUAUUUAUUCGAUUUUAUUUUGUUAUAUCCUGUUAGGAUUGCCUAAAGCAGUCCUAGUCAAACAUACUUUUUACAAAUCUCUUUUAAACAUUAUAGUGUAAUAAAUAAUACCACAGGAUCUGAUGCAACUGAUCUGUCAAUCUUGGCAGGGGUACUUUCUGAGGUUUACUUAAGUACUAGUAGUUAAUACAUAUUAAUUCAGUCCUUCCCUUUACACAGCCCCUUUUGAAUAAUUCAGAGAAUCAAACCUAGCAUUCAGGCUUCUCAGCAAGCGUUUCCCACUGAUUUACAUCCUUAACCCUUAAUUACUUUCCUUCUUUAGCUUUACUAAUACUUUCUGACUACCUACAGUUUUGUCAUUGUCUAGAAAGCCACAGAGGCAAUAGUCACACGGUUAACUGAGAGCGCCGAUUGAGCACAUCAAAAACAGAGCUCUGAGAUUCUUCAUAAUGGCUUGUGUAUUUGGACUCCUAGGCAGAAUCCUCUAUCUGUGAGCAAGAAAUGUAAUCUCUUCCCUCUUUCUCCUUCCACAUGUACACCAUAUAGACUGCUACCACAAGAACACAGUUUGCCCGCAUUUAGAGUUCCACACAUGAUUAUAUUUCAAAAUAAAGAAGGUGCCUUGGUAAGUUUUACAGUUUAGAAACAGUUACAGUAUGGAAAAGCUAACCUAAUGGGCACUGAUAAGAAAGGUGCUGAAACUCACAGCCUGAAUUCUCUUGAUGCUAAUCAGCUAAAGUAUCAAUGGAUUGUUUAUGAAGGACAUUGGAGAGACAGUCACUAUGAAGAGACACAUACUAUUCCAUGAAGUUGCACGGUAGGUAGUCUUGUAAAACCACAAAACAUUGACCUGACCUGGAGUAAGAAAAUGAAUGCCAAGAUGAUAAUUAAACUAUUAACUAGAACUGCACUUCUCAUAAAUAUAAGAAAUGUCAAUAUACUUACAGAAGUUAUGUCUAGAAAAUGGAAUCACUCAUGAUUUGAGUCUCUGAACCUACGUAUGUUCUCAGUGAAAAUGCACUCACCACAAGUUGGUUUGGGUUCUUUGUUGUUGUUGGGGUUGUUUGUUUAUUUGUUUGUUUUUUGGUUUUUUGGUUUUUGGUUUUGUUUGUUUUAGUCAGAAAAUAAGCCAAAGUUAUCUAAAACCAAAUUAGUUCAGUAUUUCUCGUAUCAGAUUUCCUGGCACUGGAGAGAUAACAAACAUCAGGGAGUUUUUAAUGAAUUUUAACACCUUUUCAGGCCAAACUGUGUGAGGUUCAGGGAUUACCCAAGGGUAAAUAUGGAAGAAAUGGCUGUGCAGAAGCCAGUAUCAAGCCUCUGCUGGUAAAGUGUACAUUCUUAAUUUAUAUCUUAAACUACACCCUACCUACAGCAGGAAGAGGGAGAGGGCGUGGGUGUGUGAACCAAGGCUACAGUGAGGGAGCCAACAGAGACAUGGGCAAAUUAUCCUAUAGGAACAGCAAGCAAGCUGGAACUGGUCUGUUCUAGUAGAUACAGCGUGUGUUACACUGUUUCGUUAAGUAGGGGCCAUUAUAAUCUGUCUCCACACCUGGCUUUAUGUAAUACUGGGAAAUAAAGCCAGCACUUCUUCAACACAUGCAAGGAUUCUAGAAGGCCUCUCUAGCCUUCUCUGAUAAACACCUAAAGAAAGAUAUAUGCCAGUCUUUUUCAAACUCGAAGAAGAAGAAGAAGAAGAAGAAGAAGAAGAAGAAGAAGAAGAAGAAGAAGAAGAAGAAGAAGAAGAAGAAGAAGAAGAAGAAGAAGCAGCAGCAGCAGCAGCAGCAGCAGCAGCAGCAGCAGCAGCAGCAGCAGCAGCAGCGAAGGAACCCUUUCUGUCUUGUUCUGUCAGACAGAGACUCUAACCAAGCUGGAUAACGUCACAAAGAAAGCAGAGGUGCCUGGACAUCCAUGUUUAAUAGCAGCUUUGUUCACAACAUAGUGUCCACCAAUAGAUGAACAAAAUGUGUAACAAUAUUAAUAUACAGUGAAAACCAGCCUCGAAGGAUACUCUGUUGCAUUACAGCUUAGAUCACCACUAACGAUAUUAGGCCAAGUAAUAUAAGCCAGUAACAAAAGAGAAAUACUGUAUAACUCACUUAUUUAUAGUAUCUAACUGAGUCAUUUCACAAACAGUAAAGAUAAGGAAGGGAUAAUCUUGUGUAAUGGGUUUUGAAUCACAGUUGUGCAAGAUGAAAAUGUACUGGAGAUUGUUUCUUUAUAGUGUGAGUGUGUUAGAUAAUGCUAAACUGUACGUUGGGAAACAAAAUUAGCAUGUGUAUUGUGUGCUUCUACCACACUGAAAUAGGCAUUACCCAGUCUCAGGAAUUAUCUAUUAUUAUUGGUGUGUGUGUGUGUGUGCGUGUGUGUGUGUGUGUGUGUGUGUGCGCGCGUGCAUGCGUGUGCAGAAAACACUACAUGCUCACAUUUCAAGGUGCAUGUGCAGAGAUCAGAGAGAGGACAACUUUUGGGAAGUAGCUCUUCCCAAAAGCUCUUCUCUCCAUGAGCUCCAGAAAUUGAACCUAGACUGUGAGAUUUGCAAAGCUUCAAACAUCCUGCCCUAUUCUUUUAGGCAGUCGUGAGUGCUUUAUUAACUGGGACUGUCAGGAGUCCAUUCACUCUGGUAUUUAUGUCAUAAUAGCAUUCCUUAUUAGCGCAAAAGGUGAAGUUGGAGGGUGCUGAUAAAGAGAGAGUGGGAAAGCUUGGGCGGCAUGGGGACUUGGGAGGUGGAUGACCACACACCCUCUAGCCCUAUGCUCCAACUUCGAGUGCUAGACGUGGUUAUCAACAUGGAAGCAGGAGGCUGAGGACCCGUGGCUGGAUCUCAGGGAGGCCAUCUACCUGCUUUAGGAUCAGAUUGAAGCAGACCAGACUGACUGCUGCUUCUGGGAACAUCUAUGGCUGUUUUGAGAAAUGCCUUUCAUUUACUGCCUGAAAGCGUGGGUAGACCAGAAGAGCUUAAGCACUGCUGGGUUGGAUUCAGAAUGAGCCGGCAAACCUUGACCUAAGUACACAGAACGGAGUUCUGAAUCGGGGGUUUCAUGUGAGAGGAAACAAAGUUUUUAUAUUAGAAGUAAGUUACAAACCAAGUGUGGUGACUCGUGCCUGUAAUCCCAGCAACUCAGGGGGCUAAGGCAGGAGGAUUGCUGUGGGUCUGAGGCAAGGCUAGCUAGUGAAUCUACACAUUUGGAGGAUCCUUAGAAUCUAAAAGAAAAACAACAAACGCACUUCUGUCUUCUGCCCAGUGUUUUGGGUGGUCUAAGAGGACAGUGUGCUCACUUAAGUUGGAGCACUAUAUCUCUGUUUUUAAGGUUGGAAAGAUGUUUCUUGCUCUGGGAGGGGGAGGGGGAGGUGGAGAGGGAAAGAGAGAGAGAGAGAGAGAGAGAGAGAGAGAGAGAGAGAGAGAGAAGAAAUGGACUUUAAAUGAGUGUGUAGACAUGGAUAUAGGUUUCUUAUUUAUCCAUGAGAAGAGCUGUAAAAUUGCUUCAUAAUUUCCAUGGAACCUAGGUAGUUGUCCAAACAGUUUUCUUUUCAUAAAGUGAUCCUUAUUGGGGAUGAAGGGUCCUCUAUCGAGAGCCAUUUUGCUGCUUCUGUGAAAGUCUACCUGUCAGGCAGAGUCAAGACGGGUCAGGGUCCGCUGGAAGAUUUCCUGGCCUUGUGAGGCAUGGAACCAUAGAGGAGGUGCACUUGAGGCUCAAGGUGAGUGUACAUGGCAACAGUUGCUUCUGCUAGCUUGUGGCUUUUUUUCCCUCAGUACUGUGGAGUAUAAAAAAGCUAUGCAAAAUCAACUUGGAGCCGCUUCAGUAUUUACUGUCAGCCCUCCCCAAUCUCUCUCCCUCUUCUUUCUGCCUCUCCUAUCUUUAGUCCUUGCUCCCCUCUCAGGUACUGUUUGACUUGUGUCAGCCAACUCCAGCACAGUCCUCCCUAGAAGACUGAGUCCCAGUCAGGUUUCUAUUGCUGUGAUAAUGACCAUGAUCUUGCUCUUCUUGCUUGUUCAAACUGCCUUCUUGUAUCCUCAGGACCACCCGCUCAGAGGUGGCGGAGCUGAUGCCCCGCACCCAACACACAUCAAUCUUCUGUCAAGAAAAUGCUUCCAUUGGCAUGCACAGGACCUGUGCGUGCUGUCAUAACCACAACAGGCUCCUAUGUGCAGCUGCCCAGUUGUAUCUGGGGACGACUGUUUCCUUGUAUUCAUCCACUGGCCUCCGGUUCUCACAGCUCCCCAAAGCCUCUUCUGCAGUGAUCUGUGCACCUUGGGAAGAGAGUGUAGAGUGUAGACCAUUCAUCCGGGGCCGAGCAUCCAGCGCCCUUGCUCUCUGCACGUGGCCAGCCUGCUCAUCGCUGUCACUGCAUACUUUUCUGAUGAAGGUUGAGGGAUCCAUUAAUCUGUGUCUCCUGGCCGUGUGGGUAGUAGAGCUAUUUGGUUUUGAGACAGGGUAGGAGAAGUGAAAUGGCAGAGAGCAGGGAAUGAGCUAUUCUCAAUCUGCUCUGUAUGACACCAGUAGAGGGUCUGACAGGAAGAGCACAGGGCUUGGAGUCAUGGACUCAGGGAAAUUUUGAAAUUUUGCUCAUUGCACUGGGUGAGGACCUAGGCUCUAUAAAAUAUGAAUAGCUCAAUUAAUACUGCCUUGUGAGUUGGGGGUUGAGAGGUGUAUAGUAGAAACAGUUCUAUGAAACAAACAAGUCUCUUCAUUUCUUUUUUUUUUUCAUUUCUUCUUUUAAAAGAAGUAUUUUAUCUUAUGUCAUAGGUCAGAACAAAUCCCAGCAUGGAGAGGAAGGUGGACACUAAGCCCCAUCUCCAGGAGGAGCUGUUGGCAUCUGAUAGCCACUGAAGAAUGUAGGUCGGUUUUAACAAUGUACCUACCAGUUAAACCAUCCUCCAGUGGAAGGCCGCACAUCCAAGAUAUCGAUAGCUCAGAUCGAACUCUGCCUCUACCUCCCAAGUGCUGGGAUUAAAGGGAAUUGAAAGGAUGAAAGAAAGAAGAACCCAUGAAAUAGCCCAAAACCAGCUACAUGGCCGCCUCUCACAGAACUCUCCGAAUCAGUGUUUACUAUCCGCCAUGUGAGGAGAGAUCAAAAGCCAAAUGCUAGAGUUUGAGAAGACUGCCUGGACUCCUUUCCAAGACUGGGCUUGGCAGCGUGCAGGGGUGUCUAGAAUACAACAGAAAGGAUGUUUUCCUGCUUCUUAAUGAAAUCGAGAUUUUUAGAGCAUUCGCCAUACUUAUUAUUCAAAAAUGUCAAUCUCCUUCUUUUCUUUUUUCCCCUCUUCUGUUUUCCUGAAAUGGUUUUGCUGUGUAGCUCAGUCAGGUCUUGGACUUUAGAUCUUCUUGUCCCUGUUCCCAACACAUAGAAUUCCAGGCAGGUCCGCCACGCUGCAUGACCGUGGCUGUGGAAGUGUGGCUCCUCCAUGGUGUAAGUGUAUCCUGAGGAUGGGUUCUCUUUAAACAAUGUAGGGAGCAGGUGCCCUAAGUGCCUUAUAUCACAGAGAGCAAGGAUAGGCUUGCAAUAUCACAGCUCCUUACUAUCCCAACUAAUUGAUUUCUCACAAAUAUCACACACAUACAUACCUUUCAUAUAUGUGUGUGUGUAUCUCUCUCUAUAUAUAUAUGUAUAUAUAUAUAUUUCACAUCAUACACACACGCCUUUUCCUUUACAUCCAGUUUAAUUUCACUCUAUCCUCUUCCAACCUGUUUCAACAUUGAUAUCUACCAUCUUAUCUCUCUCUAUCUUUGCUACAGAUUGCACUACCUGGAGUUAUCUGCUGUCUACACCUAUAUAAUUUUAUCUGCCUCCUAUUACUGAAAACCCCCGUAUGCCAUCAUCUUGAUGGACCCCAGAUAAGCCACGUCUCUCUGGCCUUCCAUUUCCCUAACUCCACGCUCUGCAUCAAUACCUCAUUGCUUUGCCACCUUCAACCCAACACUGUCCUGUGCUGAGUCACUGCUCUCACACACCGUCCAGUGCAGGCUGCUGCCCAUGGCUUUGUCAUCUCGGUUCCUUCGUUUUCCCACACAGCAUCAGCUCAUGGUUCUGUAAGAAAAACAUUGUUCUAUCUCUAUAAAAGGUGUUCAGUUUCAGCAAAAAGUCAUAUUUUCUGAGCUCUCCUCUUUCCGUUUAGCCAACUGAGGCAGUUAGUGAAGUCGAGCUCUUGCCAAUGGCAUGACAUAGAGUUACCCGCUAGGGCAGGGACAAGAGAUGGCAGCCAUCAUGGUCCUGUGUGCUUGCUGGCCAGGUUUGGGCCCCAGCACACCCAUUUUACAAAUAGAAUUGCCUUGGCAAGCCACUUUUACUUUGUUUGAUUUGUUCAUGUGUUGGUUCCUGUGACUCAAGAUUAGUGUUGGCUUUUAGCAGUCUGAAGAAAAUGUCAGUUAGCUGUUCCCCCUCAAGCUAGAGCACCUUCUGGGUUUAUCUGCAUUCUCUCUCCUAAUCAAUUGCCAAUAAAAAACAAACAAAACAACUUCUUCGAGCUUAUUCCUGAUGAUGGUGUUAUUAUUACACAUUCAUAGUUUCUGGUCCCCCCUAAUCAUCUGCCUUGCCUAGCAAGACUUCUAUGUGUUUUUCUGCUUUAUAACAAGGUGUGCCUUUACUCAUUUUGUAGCCUUUUACUCUUUCCUCAGAGAUGACCCAGGGGAGGAAAGGGGAAGGAAUAAACCCUCUCGCUACUCUACCCUAACUUUAUACCUUCUUGGUUUUAAAGCUACUUGUUUUGUCUGUCUUAGUUCUUUCUCCCAUUUCUGUGUUAAAAAAAUGUAUCCAUUUCCAUCCAGAGGACAGACUGUCGGUGUUUGAUCAUCUAGUGUGUCGAGGCAUCAGGAACUAUAUACGACUAUCUUCUAUGGUACAAGGUCCUGUUUUCCCAGCAUAAUAUUUUGACUCCUCACCUACUUUGCAGCUUGACCAAGGAGUUCCUAUCUGCAGGCUCACCCAAAGAAAUGUAAUUGAAGAUAGAUGGCUCAGAACCUAUCUAAAUGGCAGGCUAUGACCCGGGACUCUGACUCCUUAUGAAGUGAGUCAGGGCUUCGUACUAAGUUCCUGGCCAUCAAGGGCAUAGUUGAAACUUUAUCUCAAAAUAAAUAAAUAAAUAAAACAAGCAAAAAUCAAUCCAUCAACAUUUUCUUAUCUUUAGAAGUUCCUGUGUGUGUGUUUCAUUGUACAUGUGUGGUAUAUGUACUUGUUAGUGCCUAUGUGUUUGCAGAGCCGGGUAGUGAAUGACUUUGGUCAGCCAUUUUUCACUAUUUUUUUUUUUUGAUACAGAGACACUCAUUAAACUUGAAAACUCCCUGAUUUGGCUAGACUGGCUGCCCAGUGAUCUUCAAGGCUUAUAGGCAUACACUAUCAUGUUUGACUGUUUAUAUAGGUCUUGUAGAUCUAUGCUUUCAUGGCUAACAAUUUACAAGCUGAGCAUCUCCUGAGCCCCUGCUUUCUUUAUAUUUUUUUAAAAAUAGAAAUACAGUCUAAUGAGUGUGGGUAAUUUAGAAAGUAUAAACAUACUUGAGGAGCUCAUUAUUGGGUGGAGCUAGUCAGACAUUAUAAACUUUCUGGGAAAUAAAAACUAAAUUCAGAUGCUAGGAAAAAGACUAUAUAAACAAAACCUCUUGGUGAGUGCCCUAGGUUGCUGUCCUGGGUGACAGUGGGUGCCUGCUUGUGCCUGGAAACUAUGGCUCUGCCACAACACCUGAACACAGCAUUCCCUCUGGCUUAGCUCAUCCACUUGGGAGGCCAACCUUUGAGACAGGCGAUCAGUCAGACUUUGAAAUUUGCUCCCAGUGUCUCUUUCAAUCAAAAUAUGCCUCUUAAAUCCUUUUCCUGCUAGGGGAACAGACUAAUUUAAAUGUGAACACUUUCCUUAAUGACUUAAAUUGACCCAAUAAUUCCCCAAUUAAAAAUCAAAAACCCACAAUUUAUGGGGCUUAAUUUGAAAUGGAAAUUAAUGUUUUCUUUACUCUUUCUUAUAUCGUGUGUAUACGUGUGUGUGUGUUUUAUGUGUACAUGAGUUUGUGCAUAAUUGUGUGUGUGAAUAUAGUUGUGUGCCAAAACACCUGCUUUGCCCUUGAGUAGUAUUUGGCUUUGUGUGGUUGUGGAGAUUUGAACUUUAGCACUUUACAUUUGCAAGGCAAACAUUUUACUUGCUGAGCUAUCUCUUCAGUCUCUAAUUUUCUUCUUUAUCUUUCACUAAGAGGUUUUCGUUUUCAGUGAAAAUGCUCAAUUUAAGCCAGGCUGUGGUGGCAAACACCUUUAAUCCCAGUACUUGAGAGGCAGGUAGAUCUCUUGAGUUGGAGGCCAGUCUGGUCUACAGAACAAGUUCCAGAGCUGCAUAGAAACACACACACACACACACACACACACACACACACACAUACACACACACACAUACACACACACACACACUCACACACUCACACACGCACACACUCACACUCCACCCCCCCAAAAAAACGACCAAAAAGAAAGAAAAAGUUAAAUUUAAAUUAAACUUGUCCAUCCAUCUAUCUUGUGUUAAGGAUAAUAAACAUCAAUUUUUAAAUACUAGUGAUUGAUCUAUUUUAAUAGUUAAACUAAGGACUCUGAGCUAGAACUAUUCACACUUACAAAGGCAACACUUAUGCAGAAGGCCCCGAACACACACUAUGUAUGUAAAACUAAAGAAAAUAAUGUGUUUUGUUAAUCCUGUCAAUCAAGAAUAAGGUGACUACUAUAAUUUUGAGGCAAAUUUGAAGGAAGCCUUCAUUAAAACUCUCCAAGAUGAUGGACUCUGGCCAGGUUUAUUCCUAGGUUCCCAGAAAAUGGCGAUCAGUCACAUUCUGCAGAGGCUUAUAAAAGCAAACCCAUAGGACACCAUAUUUCCCAUCAGGUCCCAUCGUAUGUCCUGAGGCAGGAAUACAUCCUGACAUACUUUCCGCCUGCGUGCCUCCCCCCAUGUGACCAAGCACAUCUGGUGUAGUCGGGUCAAAAAAACAUGUGGCUUGUCACACCCGUAAACAGCAGCGUACGGCAUUUCGGGAAGUAGCUGUCUUUGGACAAGGGGUUAGCAGGUUAGAGGCAGUUCUGUUUCAUGGAUCUCUUAGGCACAGUAAUUAAGACUUAAAACAUAACUUUUUUGGCUCUCACAGUCCAUGAAUGGAGUAUGUGAGGAUUCUGAGAGUUUGGAGAAAACUCCAAGAAAACAAGAGUCCUGCGACCUCUGUUCCUUCUAAACAUGGGUGGUUCUUGUACCUUCCGGCCCCUCCCAGGUAUGGUCAAUAGGAGUGGGUUCACUUCAGAUUACACAACAUCUACUGUUACUGUUCAGAUAUUGCCAAAGGGAUUAUCCUCGCAGCUGCAUGCAGCCUAAACCAAUGUGACCUUUGCUCAUCUGAUCUUGCUUGAUCCUCAGGAUACUCUCAGAAUAAAUUAUCUGAUGCUCCAAGUAAAGUUGGCCACUGCAUGAGAUUUUAGGCUGCUUCAUUUUCAGGCCAGAUUCACGCCUCCGACUAAAGCAGUAACCAUGGGUUACUUAUCUUUUUGGUCAUCGGCACCAACUACUCUGCCCUAAUGCCUCUCCCUCAGAGGGCUAAACCUUGAGAGCGGCUCUGAGUCAGUUUAUCCUAUAGGUUCCAGUGGAUUGGUUGUCAGUGUAAACAAAUGUCCACCUUCCGGUGCAGACUAUUGGCUUUGUUAGAAAAAAAGUAAGGGCCUCAGACCAAGAAUCCUCUGUUUUCUUUGUUAAUGGUAAUUUUAUUACCCUUCAGGUAUUAGGAGGUAAAGAGGAUUAUGUUAAAUUUUAUAUCUCAUUGUGUGUUUUGUGUGUGUGUGUGUGUGUGUGUGUGUGUGUGUGUGUGUCGUCUGUCUGUCUGUCUAUCUGUCUCUUAGUGGCUUAAUGAUCUGAGUUGUUUUUUUUCCAGUUUGGAAAAAGUUUGGAAAACAUGUUUUUCUAGUACUAAGGAUUAAACUUGUCUUGCUAUUGAAGUAGUCUUAAAAGUGUUAUGAAAACAUUGUAAAGGCUGAAGAACCUAAGCUAUAGGUUCCAAUGAUUUUGAGUGGUCAAUAAUACUUCUGGAACAUAUAUUUAAGGCCCUUCUGCCCGCCUCGUUCUGUACACACGGUCUGCAGUGGUCAGCUGGGCAACCCUGCUCUGUCAGUGCUGUCUGGAAAGCUGCCAGCUUGGUUUGGGUUAGACAAACUGUAAUGUAGCAUGUGUUAAGUCUCAAAGACCUGGCACAAAUGCCUGAGGUGCCUACUAACUUAACAGCAGACCCCCCUCCCAUCUGCCCCCCAUCCCCUCUCUCUCAACAUCACUCAAUACCUGUAGCUCCCCCCAGGACUUUUACCCUCCACCCACAACCUUCCCCUUCCAGGGGCUGGGCUUCUGCUUCCCCCCAGUCAGCUUCUCCUCCCUGAAUAAUUCUUAGCCACAGACUAUCAGUCUCCAUGUGAUCUCUUGGUUCUCUGGCCUCUUGGUUUGUUCUUGGCUUUUUGGUCUAGGGCUUCUCUCUUGAUCCUAUGUGUGCUCCUGGUCCAGGAGCUCUCUUGGCCCUUAAUCCUUGCCUCCCAGCUUCUUCCUCCCACCCCACACUCCUCCUCUCGUGGCCCAGUCAAUCUAUUGGCUUGGUUCAAUCUGGAUCCUUCCAGAUGCCUUUGGCUAUUCUCUCCCACAUAUCUAAAAUAGAUUCCUUCUCCUCCUCUUCUUCUUCCUCCUCCUCCUCCUCCUCUACCUUGGAACAGUCAUGUCCUCAUUUUUUAUUCAGCAUCUACACAAAAGAAACUUUCAUAGAGCUGCUUCUGCCUGGGAUACCAUGGUACAUUUACACGGUGGAAUAUUAUUCAGCUAUGAAGAAAGAUGAAAUAAGUAAAAUUGCAGGUAAAUGAGCACAGUUGGAGAUACUCUUCCUGAGGGAUGGAACACAGACCCAAAAAGACAAGUGUUGCUUGUUUUCUCUUAUGUGUUGGUGUUAGCCUUUAAGCUUUAGAUAUGUGUGUGUUUUAAUCUGAACAACAACAGAGGUUAGGAACCUAGUAAAGGAUCAAGGAUGAGGGAGAGGGGCAUCUUCCAAGGGGAAAUAGAGUAUAGUGUUGCAAAGAGACAAAGGUAACAAGAGUAGGAGGAUUAAGUGGGGAAGAGGGAGGGAGGGCAGGGUAAAGUAAGCACUAUGGGGAGGGAAAAAACACUAAAGCCCUUUUGAAAAGCCAUAUCAAAACCCACUGCUCUAAACACUUCAUAAAAUACAUACAUAUCAAAAAGAAAUUUAAAUGGAAUCACGAUAUAAUGUGGAAGAUAAUGCCUAACUAGAUCUCUUACAGGCCAAGUCAAACCCCCAGAGCCAGGAGUGAGUUAAAUCUGAUGAGUCUUUAGCCAAAGAAGUCCCACAGCUGUUCCCCCAAAACAUCACAGACCUUUGCCAGAGCUGGUGAUGACUCCUUAUAACCUUAUGGAGUCCCCACUGCUUGGUAAAAGUCAUAUUUGUUCAGAAGGCCAACCCGUUCAACGACAGCACUGCCACUAAGAAGACCUCUUGCUGCUAGAGAGUGGAACAGUGAGAAUAAACUUCUAGGAGUCAACGCCUGACGAACACACCUAUGGCCACUUGACCUCUGACAAAGGAGCCAAAACCAUCCAAUGGAAGAAAGACAGCAUUUUCAGCAAAUGGUGCUGGUUCAACUGGAGGUCAGCAUGUAGAAGAAUGCAGAUCGAUCCAUGCUUAUCACCCUGUACAAAGCUUAAGUCCAAGUGGAUCAAGGACCUCCACAUCAAACCAGAUACACUCAAACUAAUAGAAGAAAAAGUGGGGAAGAGCCUCGAACACAUGGGCACUGGGGACAUUUUCCUGAACAGAACACCAAUGGCUUAUGCUCUAAGAUCAAGAAUCAACAAAUGGGAUCUCAUAAAACUGCAAAACUUCUGUAAGGCAAAGGACACUGUCACUAGGACAGAAUGGCAACCAACAGAUUGGGAAAAGAUCUUUACCAAUCCUACAUCUGAUAGAGGCCUUAUAUCCAAAAUAUACAAAGAACUCAAGAAGUUAGACUGCAGGGAGACAAAUAAUCCUAUUAAAAAAUGGGCUAAAAAGACUAUACAUGGACUGACCCUGGACUCUGACCUCAUAGGUAGCAAUGAAUAUCCCAGUAAGAGCACCAGUGGAAGGGGAAGCCCUGGGUCCUGCUAAGACUGAACCCCCAGUGAACUAGAUUGUUGGGGGGAGGGUGGCAAUGGGGGGAGGAUGGGGAGGGGAACACCCAUAGUGAAGGGGAGGGGGAGGGAUUAGGGGGAUGUUUGCCCGGAAACCGGGAAAGGGAAUAACACUCAAAAUGUAUAUAAGAAAUACUCAAGUUAAUAAAAAAAAUGGGCUAAACAAAGAAUUCUUAGCUGAGGAUUAUCGAAUGGCCAAAAAGCACCUAAAGAAAUGUUCAACAUCCUUAGUCAUAAGGGAAAUGCAAAUCAAAACAACCCUGAGAUUCUAUCUCACACCAGUCAGAAUGGCUAAGAUCAAAAACUCAGGUGACAGCAGACACUGGCGAGGAUGUGGAGAAAGAGGAACACUCCUCCAAUGUUGGUGGGAUUGCAGACUGUUACAAGCACUAAGGAAAUCAGUCUAGAGGUUCCUCAGAUAAUUGGACAUUCCACUACCUGAGGACCCAGCUAUACCUCUCCUGGGCAUAUACCCAAAAGAUGCUCCAACAUACAAUAAAGACACAUGCUCCACUAUUUUCAUAGCAGCCUUAUUUAUAACAGCCAGAAGCUGGAAAGAACCCAGAUGCCCUUCAACAGAGGAAUGGAUACAGAAAAUGUGGUACAUCUACACAAUGGAAUACUACUCAGCUAUCAAAAACAAUGACUUCAUGAAAUUCGUAGGCAAAUGGUUGGAACUAGAAAAUAUCAUCCUGAGUGAGGUAACCAAAUUACAGAAAAACACACCUGGUAUGCACUCAUUGAUAAGUGGAUAUUAGCCAAAAAGCUCGAUUUACCCAAAAUGCACUCCACAGACCACAGGAAGCUCAAGAAGGAGGAUGACCAAAAUUCGGAUGCUCCCACUCCUUAAAAGGGGAAAAAGUAUCCAUAGGAGUGGAUAUGGAAGCAAAGUUUAGAGCAGCGACUCAAGGAACGGCCAUUCAGAGCCUGCCCCACAUGUGGCCCAUAUAUAUACAGCCACCAAAACUAGAUAAGAUUGAUGAAGCUAAGAAGUACAUGCUGAAAGGGACCAGAUAUAGAUCUCUCCUGAGAGACACAUCCAGAACAUGUCCAAUACAGAGGUCAAUGCUAGCAGCAAAUCAUUGAACUGAGAACAGGACCCCUGUUGGAGGAAUUAGAGGAAGGAUUGAAAGAGUUGAAGGAGCUUGCAACCCCAUAUGAACAACAAUGCCAACCAACCAGAGCUUCCAGGGACUAAGCCACUACCCAAAGACUAUACAUGGACUGACCCAGGGCUCUAACUGCAUAGGUAGCAGAGAAUAGCCUUUUUGGGGCACCAGUGGAAGGGGAAGCCCUUGGUCCUGCCAAGGUUGGACCCCCAGUGCAGGGGAAUAGGGGGAGCAGUAAGGGGGAUGUAUGGGAG